This 469-nucleotide ribosomal RNA is filed under the name uncultured bacterium. RNAcentral describes it as "partial 16S ribosomal RNA". It matches the Rfam family "Bacterial small subunit ribosomal RNA", at positions 28 to 507 of the family's 1533-position model. The record is from RNAcentral.
GAUGAACGCUGGCGGCGUGCUUAACACAUGCAAGUCGAACGGUGAACACGGAGCUUGCUCUGUGGGAUCAGUGGCGAACGGGUGAGUAACACGUGAGCAACCUGCCCCUGACUCUGGGAUAAGCGCUGGAAACGGCGUCUAAUACUGGAUAUGUGACGUGACCGCAUGGUCUGCGUUUGGAAAGAUUUUUCGGUUGGGGAUGGGCUCGCGGCCUAUCAGCUUGUUGGUGAGGUAAUGGCUCACCAAGGCGUCGACGGGUAGCCGGCCUGAGAGGGUGACCGGCCACACUGGGACUGAGACACGGCCCAGACUCCUACGGGAGGCAGCAGUGGGGAAUAUUGCACAAUGGGCGCAAGCCUGAUGCAGCCACGCCGCGUGAGGGAUGACGGCCUUCGGGUUGUAAACCUCUUUUAGCAGGGAAGAAGCGAAAGUGACGGUACCUGCAGAAAAAGCGCCGGCUAACUACGUG